RNAcentral lists this ribosomal RNA (89 nucleotides) under Lactococcus cremoris. RNAcentral describes it as "partial 16S ribosomal RNA". It matches the Rfam family "Bacterial small subunit ribosomal RNA", at positions 1 to 85 of the family's 1533-position model. Lineage: Bacteria; Bacillati; Bacillota; Bacilli; Lactobacillales; Streptococcaceae. The record is from RNAcentral. RNAcentral also lists the same sequence under 1 other name.
UUUAUUUGAGAGUUUGAUCCUGGCUCAGGACGAACGCUGGCGGCGUGCCUAAUACAUGCAAGUUGAGCGAUGAAGAUUGGUGCUUGCAC